UGGCUUGUGUGAUUGUAGCUUGAGAAGGAUGUGCGAAAGCGGCUUGAGAAGGCUGUGUGAAAGCGGCUUGAGAAGGCUGUGCGAAAGCGGCUUGAGAAGGCUGUGCGAAAGCGGCUUGAGAAGGUUGUGUGUAAGCAAUUCGAGAAGGUUGUGUGAAAGCGGGUUGAGAAGGUUGUGUGAAAGACGGUUGAGAAGGCUGUGUGAGCAUAAAAGCAGCUUGAGAAGGAUGUGUAGCAGCACCUUGACAAGGUUGUGUGACUGGAGGUCGA
RNAcentral lists this long non-coding RNA (269 nucleotides) under Zea mays. RNAcentral's name for it is "long non-coding RNA (ZMAY_LNC000753)". The record is from RNAcentral. Lineage: Eukaryota; Viridiplantae; Streptophyta; Magnoliopsida; Poales; Poaceae.